AGAACGAACGCUGGCGGCAUGCCUAACACAUGCAAGUCGAACGAGACCUUCGGGUCUAGUGGCGCACGGGUGCGUAACGCGUGGGAACCUGCCCUUAGGUUCGGAAUAACUCAGAGAAAUUUGAGCUAAUACCGGAUAAUGUCUUCGGACCAAAGAUUUAUCGCCUAUGGAUGGGCCCGCGUAGGAUUAGCUAGUUGGUGGGGUAAAGCCUACAAGGCGACGAUCCUUAGCUGGUCUGGAGAGGAUGAUCAGCCACACUGGGACUGAGACACGGCCCAGACUCCUACGGGAGGCAGCAGUGGGGGAAUAUUGGACAAGUGGGACGAAAGCCUGAUCCAGCAAUGCGCGUGAGUGAUGGAAGGCCUUAGGGGUCGUAAAGCUCGUUUUUACCCGGG
Molecule: ribosomal RNA, 395 nt
Filed under: uncultured soil bacterium
Lineage: Bacteria
Description: bacterial SSU rRNA
Rfam family: Bacterial small subunit ribosomal RNA
Source: RNAcentral